UCCAGACUCCUACGGGAGGCAGCAGUGGGGAAUAUUGCACAAUGGGGGAAACCCUGAUGCAGCGACGCCGCGUGAGUGAAGAAGUAUUUCGGUAUGUAAAGCUCUCUCAGCAGGGAGGAAAAUGACGGUACCUGACUAAGAAGCCCCGGCUAACUACGUGCCAGCAGCCGCGGUAAUACGUAGGGGGCAAGCGUUAUCCGGAUUUACUAGGUGUAAAGGGAGCGUAGACGGCAUGGCAAGUCAGAUGUGAAAGCCCGGGGCUCAACCCCGGGACUGCAUUUGAAACUGUCAGGCUGGAGUGCAGGAGAGGUAAGUGGAAUUCCUAGUGUAGCGGUGAAAUGCGUAGAUAUUAGGAGGAACACCAGUGGCGAAGGCGGCUUACUGGACUGUAACUGACGUUGAGGCUCGAAAGCGUGGGGAGCAAACAGGAUUAGAUACCCCGGUAG
RNAcentral lists this ribosomal RNA (446 nucleotides) under uncultured bacterium. RNAcentral describes it as "bacterial SSU rRNA". It matches the Rfam family "Bacterial small subunit ribosomal RNA", at positions 330 to 793 of the family's 1533-position model. The record is from RNAcentral.